Molecule: long non-coding RNA, 195 nt
Organism: Epinephelus fuscoguttatus (brown-marbled grouper)
Lineage: Eukaryota; Metazoa; Chordata; Actinopteri; Perciformes; Serranidae
Exons: 3
Source: RefSeq, a predicted model, not a curated record
CUCGGGUUCAUCGGCACUUUGGGGGCUAAAGGUCGACCUGGGCCUGCUGGUCCUCCCGGUCUUCCAGGCACUAAAGGAAUUCGGGGGGCAAAGGGAAAAAGAGCCCAGCGUGGAAGGAAAGGAAACAAAGGAGCUCCUGGAAAAACUGGAGCUGAAGGCCCACUGGGUCGACCAGGACCUGCUGGAAGACCUGGA